GUUAAGUGGAUGGUGUUGAUGCCGAACUUAAAAUACUUUUGCCCGUAUUAGUUAUGUUGACGCCGUCGUGAAAAAACGUUUGGUUGACGCGGUGUUUUAAAAAGUUCAGAAAAAGCAAAAAAAGUGGUUGGAUGAGCAGUAUAAAAAGAAAAAAAUAAGUGUAUAAAGAACACAAAAUACUAAAAUAAUCCGCUUACGGGCGAAACUACAACAUUUUAAAUCACCCUGUGUGAAAAUAUCCAUGUAUCUUUCACCGGAUGUUAUAAUAAUCACUAAAAUUGUGUGAUUAAAAAAAUCCUUUGAGUGAAAAAAAUUAUAAAGUAUCUUCAAUAGCAUUGAAACUUGAAAAAAAAAUAUUUUAUCAUAAAUCUAAAAAAUAAUUAUAAAACUUUACUAAAACUAAACCUACAUACGUACUUACUGCAUACAUAAAUA
Molecule: long non-coding RNA, 435 nt
Organism: Rhagoletis zephyria (snowberry fruit fly)
Lineage: Eukaryota; Metazoa; Arthropoda; Insecta; Diptera; Tephritidae
Source: RefSeq, a predicted model, not a curated record